UACGUAGGGUGCGAGCGUUGUCCGGAUUUAUUGGGUUUAAAGGGUGCGUAGGCGGGAGAGUAAGUUCGCUUUUAAAGCCGGCCGCUUAACGGUCAGGUAGGGGGCGGAUACUGCUUUUCUUGAGAGGGCUCGGGGCUGGCGGAAUUUGUGGUGUAGCGGUGAAAUGCAUAGAUACCACAAGGAACACCGAUCGCGUAGGCAGCCAGCCAGGGCCUUUCUGACGCUGAGGCACGAAAGUGCGGGGAGCAAACAGG
RNAcentral lists this ribosomal RNA (254 nucleotides) under uncultured bacterium. Its description in RNAcentral is "partial 16S ribosomal RNA". It matches the Rfam family "Bacterial small subunit ribosomal RNA", at positions 524 to 776 of the family's 1533-position model. The record is from RNAcentral.